RNAcentral lists this ribosomal RNA (514 nucleotides) under uncultured microorganism. RNAcentral's name for it is "bacterial SSU rRNA". It matches the Rfam family "Bacterial small subunit ribosomal RNA", at positions 9 to 506 of the family's 1533-position model. The record is from RNAcentral.
GAGUUUGAUCUUGGCUCAGGAUGAACGCUGGCGGCGUGCCUAAUACAUGCAAGUCGAGCGAACGGACGAGAAGCUUGCUUCUCUGAUGUUAGCGGCGGACGGGUGAGUAACACGUGGAUAACCUACCUAUAAGACUGGGAUAACUUCGGGAAACCGGAGCUAAUACCGGAUAAUAUUUUGAACCGCAUGGUUCAAAAGUGAAAGACGGUCUUGCUGUCACUUAUAGAUGGAUCCGCGCUGCAUUAGCUAGUUGGUAAGGUAACGGCUUACCAAGGCAACGAUGCAUAGCCGACCUGAGAGGGUGAUCGGCCACACUGGAACUGAGACACGGUCCAGACUCCUACGGGAGGCAGCAGUAGGGAAUCUUCCGCAAUGGGCGAAAGCCUGACGGAGCAACGCCGCGUGAGUGAUGAAGGUCUUCGGAUCGUAAAACUCUGUUAUUAGGGAAGAACAUAUGUGUAAGUAACUGUGCACAUCUUGACGGUACCUAAUCAGAAGCCACGGCUAACUACGU